This 509-nucleotide ribosomal RNA is filed under the name uncultured bacterium. RNAcentral's name for it is "bacterial SSU rRNA". It matches the Rfam family "Bacterial small subunit ribosomal RNA", at positions 19 to 518 of the family's 1533-position model. The record is from RNAcentral.
CUGGCUCAGGAUGAACGCUAGCUACAGGCUUAACACAUGCAAGUCGAGGGGCAGCGAGAGGAAAGCUUGCUUCCUUGUCGGCGACCGGCGCACGGGUGAGUAACGCGUAUCCAACCUCCCCAUAGUAGAGGAUAGCCCGGCGAAAGUCGGAUUAAUACUCUAUGUUGUGUCAUGAGGACAUCUGAAUAACACUAAAGAUUUAUCGCUAUGGGAUGGGGAUGCGUCUGAUUAGGUAGUCGGCGGGGUAACGGCCCACCGAGCCGACGAUCAGUAGGGGUUCUGAGAGGAAGGUCCCCCACAUUGGUACUGAGACACGGACCAAACUCCUACGGGAGGCAGCAGUGAGGAAUAUUGGUCAAUGGACGAGAGUCUGAACCAGCCAAGUAGCGUGCAAGGAUGACUGCCCUAUGGGUUGUAAACUGCUUUUAUGCGGGAAUAAAGUCAGGUACGUGUACCUGUUUGUAUGUACCGCAUGAAUAAGGACCGGCUAAUUCCGUGCCAGCCGCUGC